GACGAACGCUGGCGGCGUGCUUAACACAUGCAAGUCGAACGGUAAGGCCCCCUCGGGGGUACACGAGUGGCGAACGGGUGAGUAGCACGUGAGCAACCUGCCCUUGACUCUGGGAUAACAGGUGGAAACAGCUGCUAAUACCGGAUACGACCUUCGAUGACAUCAUCUGGAGGUGGAAAGCGCUUUAGCGGUCAAGGAUGGGCUCGCUGGCUAUCAGCUUGUUGGGGAGGUGGCGGCUCACCUAGCCUUCGACGGGUAGCCGGCCUGAGAGGGCGACCGGCCACACUGGGACUUAGAUACGGCCCAGACUCCUACGCGAGGCAGCAGUGGGGAAUCUUGCACAAUGGGCGCAAGCCUUGUGCAGCAGCGCCGCGUGCGGGAUGACGGCCUUCGGGUUGUAAACCGCUUUCAGUUCCGACGAAGCGCAGGUGACGGUAGGAACAGAAGAAGGACCGGCCAACUACGUGCCAGCCGCCGCGGUAA
RNAcentral lists this ribosomal RNA (483 nucleotides) under uncultured bacterium. RNAcentral's name for it is "partial 16S ribosomal RNA". It matches the Rfam family "Bacterial small subunit ribosomal RNA", at positions 28 to 523 of the family's 1533-position model. The record is from RNAcentral.